This 132-nucleotide non-coding RNA is filed under the name uncultured Paenibacillus sp. RNAcentral describes it as "SAM riboswitch (S box leader)". It matches the Rfam family "SAM riboswitch aptamer (S box leader)". From Rfam's summary of the family: The SAM riboswitch is found upstream of a number of genes which code for proteins involved in methionine or cysteine biosynthesis in Gram-positive bacteria. The SAM riboswitch acts at the level of transcription termination control. The predicted structure consists of a complex stem-loop region followed by a single stem loop terminator region. Lineage: Bacteria; Bacillati; Bacillota; Bacilli; Caryophanales; Paenibacillaceae. The record is from RNAcentral.
UCUUAUCGAGAGUGGCGGAGGGACAGGCCCUAUGAAGCCCGGCAACCGAUUCUUUAUAGAGAUUUUUUCUAUAUUGGAUGACAUGGUGCUAAAUCCUUCAAGAUCAUAUGUUUUUGGUCUUGGCAGAUGAGA